Molecule: long non-coding RNA, 497 nt
Organism: Stegodyphus dumicola
Lineage: Eukaryota; Metazoa; Arthropoda; Arachnida; Araneae; Eresidae
Source: RefSeq, a predicted model, not a curated record
UAUUUUUUGAAUCUAGAGAAUGGAGUUUCUGAAACGCAGUCUAGUUUUCGUUGUGGCUUUGGCGAUGGCAACUUUGACUAUCAUCCAUGCUAUGCCAGACCCUGAUCCACAGCCCAGGUAUUCGUUUGCCGAUGGAAGAUAAAUUCUGGUAUAUCUUAGGAUUUAGGAAAGUUUGAGAGAAGACAUCUGAAUAUGCCUCUUUCGAUUCAAUGAAACUUCUUAACAGAGAUAAAGGAAAAGUGUUAAAAUCUGUGGCAAUUAUUAUUCAGCAUAAUGUUAACCAAAAUUUUAAAAUGUGUUUUCUCUUUCACAAAUGUUUCGAAAAUGUACAUCAAUAAAAUACUCUUCAAUGUUGGCAUAAAAUGUAUCAUUUAAUAUUAUUAGUAAACGCAUGUUCAAUAUAAAAUGGAUGCUUAUGCAACGACUAGUUUCUCUCAUGUAAGUUUCGUGUAUUUUAGCCACGAUUGCAUUCAACAUAAAUGACAAUACUUGUUCAA